Non-coding RNA from Schistocerca americana (American grasshopper), 76 nucleotides. The record is from the annotation of a RefSeq genome assembly. Lineage: Eukaryota; Metazoa; Arthropoda; Insecta; Orthoptera; Acrididae.
GCCCUCGAUGGCUCAGUCGGAACAGAGUGUCUGCCAUGUAAGUAGGAGAUUCCGGGUUCGAGUCCCGGUCGGGGCA